RNAcentral lists this transfer RNA (77 nucleotides) under Nitrospinota bacterium. RNAcentral describes it as "tRNA-Arg". It matches the Rfam family "tRNA". Rfam says of the family: Transfer RNA (tRNA) molecules are approximately 80 nucleotides in length. Their secondary structure includes four short double-helical elements and three loops (D, anti-codon, and T loops). Further hydrogen bonds mediate the characteristic L-shaped molecular structure. tRNAs have two regions of fundamental functional importance: the anti-codon, which is responsible for specific mRNA codon recognition, and the 3' end, to which the tRNAs corresponding amino acid is attached (by aminoacyl-tRNA synthetases). tRNAs cope with the degeneracy of the genetic code in two manners: having more than one tRNA (with a specific anti-codon) for a particular amino acid; and 'wobble' base-pairing, i.e. permitting non-standard base-pairing at the 3rd anti-codon position. The record is from RNAcentral. Lineage: Bacteria; Pseudomonadati; Nitrospinota.
GCGCCCGUAGCUCAACUGGAUAGAGCGACUGACUUCGGAUCAGUAGGUUGGGGGUUCAAAUCCCUUCGGGCGCACCA